UAGAGAUGGGAAGAUGUCCAAGACUUCAUUGCAGCUGGGGCUGCAGCUGAUGGCGUUGGGUUUGCACUGGGCUCUGUUGCACGGUGUCAUCCCUCUUUGAGGAAUUGUUGGUUGAGAUCCCCUGGGAAGCCGGCCUUAGGGACAAAGGAAUGGAACGGAGCUGCAUGGAACUCCUUAGGGACGCCUGUCUGAGAGCACAGGAGCUCUCCAAAAAUUUCUCACACUGGAUGGGCUGGGCUGCACCACGGGGAGGUGUUGGGAAGCACAGCGGCUGAAUGUGCCACUGCAGAGCCCACUCACAGCCAGGGCGCAUCCCCAGACUGCUCAUUUCUGGGCUCUCUUACCACCCAUGCAAGCACCUCCAUGAGGCCAGUGUGCCAAGCAGACUCCACCAUGCGGCAUUUCCCAGCAGAUCCCCCCAUGCUGCUUCUCCAGACUGCAUGUGCAGCUGCAAGCAGGAAUUCCCAGAGGAGCAGAAGAACUCUCCGGGCUCUGCUGUUAUCCUACAAGGCAUCAGCGUGGGGCCGGAUAAACCCAACGGAUCAAGGGCAGCUUGGCUGGUCAAUGGGAGGCAGCCAAGGCAAACAGCAGUGGCUCCCAGACCUCAACAGGAGCCCCUCGGUGGCUCACUACACUUCAUUUGCUCUUUUGCUUUUAGGAGAAGGGGUGAGGUGUGGGGCUGGGCAUGACAACAUGUGGGCUCUCGAGCGAACCCCCCCAGGGCCGAUGGAAACUGCGUAC
RNAcentral lists this long non-coding RNA (741 nucleotides) under Gallus gallus (chicken). RNAcentral describes it as "lncRNA (ENSGALG00010028661.1)". Lineage: Eukaryota; Metazoa; Chordata; Aves; Galliformes; Phasianidae. The record is from RNAcentral.